GUAGCUCUUAUACUAGUCAUUGAUUUAACUAUUUACUUAGUUCCUUAGACAGUUAGCUAUUUAUCUGUUUAACCAUUAAUUUUUUUCAUAUUUAUAUUUUUACAACCUUUCUGCCUAUUUUGAUUAAUUUACUUAACUUGUUUAUGUUGUCUACUCCAUUAAAUAGUUCAAAUCCGCAUAUCUUUCAUAAUGGAUAAAUUUACCAUAAACGAAAUGAAUGAGCAAAAGUUAGAAGAAAUAAAAAAUAAAGGAAAUGAUUUAUUUAAAAAUAAGAAAUAUGCAGACGCACUGGAUGCUUAUCUGAAUAUACUUUCACUGAUUUGUAACGAUGCGGUAGAUUCGAAAAACAUAAAAAAAGUUGUAAAUUUUUUUCAAAAGCAAAACAUAGCAAACACUGUUCCAGAAUCGAGUAACGAAGUAACAAAAACCACAGAAAGUACAGCAAAUGAAAAGAACAAAAUGGAAAACAAUAGUUGUCACUUAGCUGAUUAUAUUAAUAUUAAAAACAUAUUCAUAAAGGUUUGUCAUAAUAUAUCAUUAUGUUACUAUUUUUUAGAGCAGUUUAACAAAGCCAUUGAAUACUGUUUAUAUAUUAACGAAACCGAUAAGGAUCACUUUAAGAGUUUUCACACGUUAGGUUUGUGUUACGAACAGUUAGAGGAUUAUAAAAAGUGUAUUAUCUAUUUUGAUAGGUGUAAGUCUAUACUAUUAAAUGAAAAGACGAAUAAAAACGACAACACAAGUGGCGCUACCGGUAUCAGCACAAACCACAAAAAAAAAAAUACAGAAGUAAAUAGAAUUAAUGAGAAAAUAAAAAAAAUAAUGAAACUAAUUGAAGAAAAAAAUAAUGUGAACAGUAGUGACGUUAACAACAGUAGUAAUAGUAACAUUUCUGUAGAUACCAUUAAAAUCGUUUUAUGCGAUGAAAAAUCAAGUGAAGAAGAUAAAAUUAAAAUGCUACACUGCAUUUAUAAUCAAAAAAUUUAUAUAUUAUUGAAAGAAAAUAUAUUUCAGUUUAUAUUUGAUUUAUUAAUUAAAAAGAAUAUUAGUAUAGCCAUAGAACAAAAUUGUAUUUUUUGUAUAUAUAAGAUUUUGUCUAUUUUAGAAGCAGAAAGUUUACAAAUAGAAAAAGAAAAAGCUUCUAACAACUCUUACAAUGCUCGUAUUUGUAUUAACCGGUUAGAUAACGUACAAUUUCAAUAUUAUUAUAAUCCUGAUUUUAUUAAACUUUUAGUAUCUUUUAAUAAUAUAUAUGAUGAAAAAUGGAUAACUAAUUAUAUAAAAAGUAAGAAUGAGAAAUUGGAGAAUUAUAAAUUUACAAAAGAGGAAAAAAACUAUAAAAAUACCAUAAAUAUAUUAAUGUAUAUAAUUAAUAUUUUAAAAUAUGUAUAUUCCAUAGAUAAUGAACAAGUAUUAAAAAUAAUUAAUUCUUAUUAUAUAAAUAAUGAUAUUAACGAAAUAGCUUUUAGUGGUUUAUAUGCGAUCAUUUUUUUAUGUAAAAAAAAACAGUUUUUUAUUGCAGGUACAGCUAAAAAAGGAAGCGUUACAAAAAAUGGCAUAAACCCUAUUGUAAACAGUACUAACAACACUAUUGGUGUCAAUAGAAGACUAUUUUUAGAAACAUUAAAAACGGAACAUAAUGUUGACAUAACAAAUAAUGUUAUCGUUUUUCACUUUUCAGAUCCGUAUAAAUAUCCUGUAUGCAUAAACAUAGAAAUAAAAAAAUUUAUUCAAACUUGUGUAUCUUUGUAUGAUUAUUUACCAGAAGAUGUAGAAUAUGCUUUAGUUUUGUUAUUUACUUUAUUGUAUGAUAAAAAUAGACCAUCAGAAAAAGACACCGAUAUGAAUGAUAUGAUAUAUGAGUAUGUAGAUUCAUAUUUCCAUGCAAAUAAAAUAAAUAUCGAGUGGUUUAUUUAUGUGAAAUGCUUUUUUUUGGUUGAUAAAAAUAUUAUAUUAAAUUAUCUUAUAGGUAAAAAUGAAUAUAUAUUGCAAAUUUUAAAUUGUAUUAAUAAUGCCAUAGGAAGAGAAAAUACAAAAUAUACCGACCUUUCUAUUGAUGUGUUGUUGCUGAUACUUGAUAUAUCAGAGUUGCGUUUAAUGUUAAAUGAUUACAUCGAUUUAUAUGUAAAAAUUAUUAAAACGUUAAAUUAUGACAGAAAUUUUUUAAAACUACUAAUCGGGUCUUUUAAAUUAUACAUGCAUAGCAUAGAUUUUAAAAAGGUUGUUGCAAAUAAUAUAGAUUUGUUUUUUUAUUCUAAAGAAAUGGUAAACGAGUUUCUUUUAAAUUACGACCAAGGGACAAUAAAAGAUAGUAAUGUAAAAGGUACUACUAUUAAAACUAAUAGACAACAAGUAAAUAAUUUGACUAAUGAAAAAAUAGAGCAUGUAAAGUUAUCAAUGACAGGUGAAUGUGCUAAUGAUGUUGAUAAUGGUUGCUUAGUUCGAGAAGUGGGAUUACAUGUUACGGCAGCAACAUCAGCUGUAGCAGAAACUACAACAGAUGAAACCCACGUACAAAACAAUAUAGAGGAUCCAAAUGCAAACAAAAGUAACAAUGGGGAUAAAGAAAAGUGUUCACAACUUAUGGAUGACAAAAAAGCAAUUGAAACAAAUUAUAACAUUAAAUAUGAUGACGGCUUACUAAAAAAUAUGAUAGAAAUGCUAUUUUAUCUUAGUUUACACAUAGAAUUUAAAAAGGAGUUGUUAAAAGAAGAAAACAGUUAUAUUUUAUUUUUUUUAAUUAAAAUAGGAGAUGAUAUAAAUAAAAAAAAAUUAGAUAAUACAUAUAAAUAUAUUUAUUGCAAUACUAUAUAUAAUUUAAUUUUAACAAGAACAGAUGAGAAAAUGCGAAAACGAGAAAUUAAUAAGGCCAAUCUAGCAAAUUUUGAUCAUGAACAAAUAGAAGCUUUAGAACAAUUUUACGAUAAAUUACAUGGAACAGCAAAAACGAAAUUAGAUCCAUUAUAUGAUUAUGGGGAUGAAGAAACAAGUAAUAAAAUAAUAUCGCUAUUAUUAUAUACUGAAAAAUAUCCGAUGAAUAUAAUUGGAAAUAAAACAAAUACAACAACCAAUAAAAACACACUUGCAACAUAUAAUUACAAAAAUGGUUCUAUUAUUAAUAUUAUUUACAAUUUUAUUAACACUAGUUUUUUUACUACAAAUAUUGCAGAAGCUAUAUGUGAUAUCAUAUCAAAAUUUGUAAAAAAUUAUAACAACAUAGGUAUUGUAUUAGUUAAUAAUGGGUUAAAAUCAUUAUUAUUAGCUUCUAAACAUAUUUGUAAAAAAAAAAAUUGUGCAUUAGCGCUAAGUGAAAUAUUUAUAUAUACAAACCCUAAAUUAAUUCAUUUUUAUGAAGCAUAUGAUUCUUUAUCUUUACUAAUUGAUGAGCUAAAUGAUGAUGAAGAAAUAGUAGUCUUUAAAUGUUUAAUGGCCAUCACCAAUAUACUAACUGUGGACGAAAAUAUAGGGAAAAAAGCAAUGCAACUAAAACUAUGGACUAAAUGUUUUGAAACUUUAUCAUCAGAAAAUGAGCAUAUAAAAUUGGCUUCUUUAGAAUGUAUUUGUAAUUUGUGUUCACAAGUAUAUGUACAUCAAUAUAUCUAUGAUAA
This 3608-nucleotide long non-coding RNA is filed under the name Piliocolobus tephrosceles (Ugandan red Colobus). Its description in RNAcentral is "lncRNA (ENSPTEG00000004284.1)". The record is from RNAcentral. Lineage: Eukaryota; Metazoa; Chordata; Mammalia; Primates; Cercopithecidae.